AUUGAACGCUGGCGGCAUGCCUUACACAUGCAAGUCGAACGGUAACAGGUCUUCGGAUGCUGACGAGUGGCGAACGGGUGAGUAAUACAUCGGAACGUGCCCGAGAGUGGGGGAUAACGAAGCGAAAGCUUUGCUAAUACCGCAUACGAUCUCAGGAUGAAAGCAGGGGACCGUAAGGCCUUGCGCUCACGGAGCGGCCGAUGGCAGAUUAGGUAGUUGGUGGGAUAAAAGCUUACCAAGCCGACGAUCUGUAGCUGGUCUGAGAGGACGACCAGCCACACUGGGACUGAGACACGGCCCAGACUCCUACGGGAGGCAGCAGUGGGGAAUUUUGGACAAUGGGCGCAAGCCUGAUCCAGCCAUGCCGCGUGCAGGAUGAAGGCCUUCGGGUUGUAAACUGCUUUUGUACGGAACGAAAAGACUCUGGUUAAUACCUGGGGUCCAUGACGGUACCGUAAGAAUAAGCACCGGCUAACUACGUG
This 482-nucleotide ribosomal RNA is filed under the name uncultured bacterium. RNAcentral describes it as "bacterial SSU rRNA". It matches the Rfam family "Bacterial small subunit ribosomal RNA", at positions 30 to 507 of the family's 1533-position model. The record is from RNAcentral.